AACGCUAGCUACAGGCUUAACACAUGCAAGUCGAGGGGCAUCUGGAAGAAAGCUUGCUUUCUUUGCUGGCGACCGGCGCACGGGUGAGUAACACGUAUCCAACCUGCCCUUUACUCGGGGAUAGCCUUUCGAAAGAAAGAUUAAUACCCGAUGGCAUAAUGAUUCCGCAUGGUUUCAUUAUUAAAGGAUUCCGGUAAAGGAUGGGGAUGCGUUCCAUUAGGUUGUUGGUGAGGUAACGGCUCACCAAGCCUUCGAUGGAUAGGGGUUCUGAGAGGAAGGUCCCCCACAUUGGAACUGAGACACGGUCCAAACUCCUACGGGAGGCAGCAGUGAGGAAUAUUGGUCAAUGGGCGCUAGCCUGAACCAGCCAAGUAGCGUGAAGGAUGAAGGCUCUAUGGGUCGUAAACUUCUUUUAUAUAAGAAUAAAGUGCAGUAUGUAUACUGUUUUGUAUGUAUUAUAUGAAUAAGGAUCGGCUAACUCCGUGCCAGCAGCCGCGGUAAUACGGAGGAUCCGAGCGUUAUCCGGAUUUAUUGGGUUUAAAGGGAGCGUAGGUGGACUGGUAAGUCAGUUGUGAAAGUUUGCGGCUCAACCGUAAAAUUGCAGUUGAUACUGUCAGUCUUGAGUACAGUAGAGGUGGGCGGAAUUCGUGGUGUAGCGGUGAAAUGCUUAGAUAUCACGAAGAACUCCGAUUGCGAAGGCAGCUCACUGGACUGCAACUGACACUGAUGCUCGAAAGUGUGGGUAUCAAACAGGAUUAGAUACCCUGGUAGUCCACACAGUAAACGAUGAAUACUCGCUGUUUGCGAUAUACAGUAAGCGGCCAAGCGAAAGCAUUAAGUAUUCCACCUGGGGAGUACGCCGGCAACGGUGAAACUCAAAGGAAUUGACGGGGGCCCGCACAAGCGGAGGAACAUGUGGUUUAAUUCGAUGAUACGCGAGGAACCUUACCCGGGCUUAAAUUGCAGUGGAAUGAUGUGGAAACAUGUCAGUGAGCAAUCACCGCUGUGAAGGUGCUGCAUGGUUGUCGUCAGCUCGUGCCGUGAGGUGUCGGCUUAAGUGCCAUAACGAGCGCAACCCUUAUCUUUAGUUACUAACAGGUUAUGCUGAGGACUCUAGAGAGACUGCCGUCGUAAGAUGUGAGGAAGGUGGGGAUGACGUCAAAUCAGCACGGCCCUUACGUCCGGGGCUACACACGUGUUACAAUGGGGGGUACAGAAGGCAGCUAGCGGGUGACCGUAUGCUAAUCCCAAAAUCCUCUCUCAGUUCGGAUCGAAGUCUGCAACCCGACUUCGUGAAGCUGGAUUCGCUAGUAAUCGCGCAUCAGCCACGGCGCGGUGAAUACGUUCCCGGGCCUUGUACACACCGCCCGUCAAGCCAUGGGAGCCGGGGGUACCUGAAGUACGUAACCGCAAGGAUCGUCCUAGGGUAAAACUGGUGACUGGGGCUAA
Molecule: ribosomal RNA, 1449 nt
Filed under: uncultured organism
Description: SSU rRNA
Rfam family: Bacterial small subunit ribosomal RNA
Source: RNAcentral